This 927-nucleotide long non-coding RNA is filed under the name Astyanax mexicanus (Mexican tetra). RNAcentral's name for it is "lncRNA (ENSAMXG00005017508.1)". Lineage: Eukaryota; Metazoa; Chordata; Actinopteri; Characiformes; Acestrorhamphidae. The record is from RNAcentral.
AAUUAGAAUUCCAGGAAAAUAAACCGCCAAACGUUACACUGACCUACCAGCAUAGGGUCUGUUUUCUCUGGACGACCAGCUGAUGUUGCUGAAUUUGGCGCCCUCUACAAGCGAUUGUAAAAAGCACAUAUAAAGGACUAUCGUAAAAUACUUUUUUAAAAGCGUGUUACACUGGAUACACUGCGAAUGUCUCUGACUGGUGAGCAAACUGGUUGGUUUUCCCAUCCCACUGAGCUGCAGUUUAAAUAUUUUCCUCAGCUUAGCUGUUGUAUUAGUGCUAACAUUAACCAGGGUUAGCUCUCGCGCAGGGUCACUCUUUUUAAAUUAAAAAAUUAACGGAAAUCAACCGUCAUUAGCUCGUUUUUCUUCGGCUCAGUAAAUAUUUAAAGUAAAUAUUUAACAACUUUCUUAUUUAUUUAUUCUAAAAAGAUACACUCCAGCGUGUUUUUACUUCUGAAUAAUAGGGUUCUGUACAAGUAACCUGGCAGGGACCUCUUCAGCACUCUGACUUGCUGUGUAAGGAUGAGAGUGGCUGACCCAAGGGUGGAGAGGCCCUGUUUGGACGGCGUGACACAGUUCAGUCUCAGAGGAACACACAGCACAACCCAGAGCUUGACCAGGGUCCUCCCAUUCAUGUUUGCAGAGAGCUGUUGAAUGGUCACAGGGUGAAGAAAAGUCAACAUUGCUUCAUUCAGCCAGUCAGAUUGCCCUUUCUUACCCCUGAGACUUUGAUGUGGGGAAGAGAUUGCAACAGGAUACACUGUGGGAAGAAUACAAGCUAGUGGAGGGAGUGUGAUGCUCUGGACAGUGUUCUGCUGGGAAACUUUGGGUCUGCAGUCCAGACCUUUCAUGAAAAGAUGCAUCAUGAAAUGAAAAUUCUGACAAGACAAAAAUAAAACAAUAUUUUUAUUUUAUAAAAAUGUCUCA